ACGGCGAGUGAAGCGGUAAUAGCUCAAAUUUGAAAUCUGGCUCUAGGGUCCGAGUUGUAAUUUGUAGAGGAUGUUUCGGGUGCGCCCGCAGUUUAAGUUCCUUGGAACAGGACGUCAUAGAGGGUGAGAAUCCCGUCUUGAACUGUACGGCAAGUCCAUGUGAAACUCCUUCGACGAGUCGAGUUGUUUGGGAAUGCAGCUCAAAAUGGGAGGUAAAUUUCUUCUAAAGCUAAAUAUUGGCCAGAGACCGAUAGCGCACAAGUAGAGUGAUCGAAAGAUGAAAAGCACUUUGAAAAGAGAGUUAAACAGUAUGUGAAAUUGUUAAAAGGGAAGCGUUUGCAACCAGACUUGUUUCUAACAGUUCUACCGCAGUUCUCUGUGGCUUAUUCUGUUAGUCCAGGCCAGCAUCAGUUUGGGUGGCUCGUUAAAGACUUUGGGAAUGUAUCUACUCCUUCGGGUGUAGACUUAUAGCCCAUUGUGUAAUAGGGUCUACCUGGACUGAGGUACGCGCAUUGCUCGGA
RNAcentral lists this ribosomal RNA (521 nucleotides) under Neophaeomoniella zymoides. RNAcentral describes it as "partial 28S large subunit ribosomal RNA". It matches the Rfam family "Eukaryotic large subunit ribosomal RNA", at positions 86 to 615 of the family's 3401-position model. The record is from RNAcentral. Lineage: Eukaryota; Fungi; Ascomycota; Eurotiomycetes; Phaeomoniellales; Phaeomoniellaceae.